Molecule: ribosomal RNA, 800 nt
Filed under: uncultured Mycobacterium sp.
Lineage: Bacteria; Bacillati; Actinomycetota; Actinomycetes; Mycobacteriales; Mycobacteriaceae
Description: bacterial SSU rRNA
Rfam family: Bacterial small subunit ribosomal RNA
Source: RNAcentral
UGUCCGGAAUUACUGGGCGUAAAGAGCUCGUAGGUGGUUUGUCGCGUUGUUCGUGAAAACUCACAGCUUAACUGUGGGCGUGCGGGCGAUACGGGCAGACUAGAGUACUGCAGGGGAGACUGGAAUUCCUGGUGUAGCGGUGGAAUGCGCAGAUAUCAGGAGGAACACCGGUGGCGAAGGCGGGUCUCUGGGCAGUAACUGACGCUGAGGAGCGAAAGCGUGGGGAGCGAACAGGAUUAGAUACCCUGGUAGUCCACCCCGUAAACGGUGGGUACUAGGUGUGGGUUCCUUCCUUGGGAUCCGUGCCGUAGCUAACGCAUUAAGUACCCCGCCUGGGGAGUACGGCCGCAAGGCUAAAACUCAAAGGAAUUGGCGGGGGCCCGCACAAGCGGCGGAGCAUGUGGAUUAAUUCGAUGCAACGCGAAGAACCUUACCUGGGUUUGACAUGCACAGGACGCCGGCAGAGAUGUCGGUUCCCUUGUGGCCUGUGUGCAGGUGGUGCAUGGCUGUCGUCAGCUCGUGUCGUGAGAUGUUGGGUUAAGUCCCGCAACGAGCGCAACCCUUGUCCUAUGUUGCCAGCGGGUUAUGCCGGGGACUCGUAGGAGACUGCCGGGGUCAACUCGGAGGAAGGUGGGGAUGACGUCAAGUCAUCAUGCCCCUUAUGUCCAGGGCUUCACACAUGCUACAAUGGCCGGUACAAAGGGCUGCGAUGCCGUGAGGUGGAGCGAAUCCUUUCAAAGCCGGUCUCAGUUCGGAUCGGGGUCUGCAACUCGACCCCGUGAAGUCGGAGUCGCUAGUAA